GACGAACGCUGGCGGCGUGCUUAACACAUGCAAGUCGAACGGAAAGGCCCUGCUUUUGUGGGGUGCUCGAGUGGCGAACGGGUGAGUAACACGUGAGUAACCUGCCCUUGACUUUGGGGUAACUUCAGGAAACUGGGGCUAAUACCGGAUAGGAGCUCCUGCUGCAUGGUGGGGGUUGGAAAGUUUCGGCGGUUGGGGAUGGACUCGCGGCUUAUCAGCUCGUUGGUGGGGUAGUGGCUUACCAAGGCUUUGACGGGUAGCCGGCCUGAGAGGGUGACCGGCCACAUUGGGACUGAGAUACGGCCCAGACUCCUACGGGAGGCAGCAGUGGGGAAUAUUGCACAAUGGGCGGAAGCCUGAUGCAGCAACGCCGCGUGCGGGAUGACGGCCUUCGGGUUGUAAACCGCUUUCGCCUGUGACGAAGCGUGAGUGACGGUAAUGGGUAAAGAAGCACCGGCUAACUACGUG
Molecule: ribosomal RNA, 468 nt
Filed under: uncultured bacterium
Lineage: Bacteria
Description: partial 16S ribosomal RNA
Rfam family: Bacterial small subunit ribosomal RNA
Source: RNAcentral